RNAcentral lists this ribosomal RNA (497 nucleotides) under uncultured bacterium. Its description in RNAcentral is "partial 16S ribosomal RNA". It matches the Rfam family "Bacterial small subunit ribosomal RNA", at positions 28 to 507 of the family's 1533-position model. The record is from RNAcentral.
GAUGAACGCUGGCGGCGUGCCUAAUACAUGCAAGUCGAGCGAACAGACGAGGAGCUUGCUCCUCUGACGUUAGCGGCGGACGGGUGAGUAACACGUGGAUAACCUACCUAUAAGACUGGGAUAACUUCGGGAAACCGGAGCUAAUACCGGAUAAUAUAUUGAACCGCAUGGUUCAAUAGUGAAAGACGGUUUUGCUGUCACUUAUAGAUGGAUCCGCGCCGCAUUAGCUAGUUGGUAAGGUAACGGCUUACCAAGGCAACGAUGCGUAGCCGACCUGAGAGGGGGGUCGGCCACACUGGAACUGAGACACGGUCCAGACUCCUACGGGAGGCAGCAGUAGGGAAACUUCCGCAAUGGGCGGAAGCCUGACGGAGCAACGCCGCGUGAGUGAUGAAGGUCUUCGGAUCGUAAAACUCUGUUAUUAGGGAAGAACAAAUGUGUAAGUAACUAUGCACGUCUUGACGGUACCUAAUCAGAAAGCCACGGCUAACUACGUG